UACGUAGGGUGCGAGCGUUGUCCGGAAUUACUGGGCGUAAAGAGCUCGUAGGUGGUUUGUCGCGUUGUCCGUGAAAACUCACAGCUCAACUGUGGGCGUGCGGGCGAUACGGGCAGACUGGAGUACUGCAGGGGAGACUGGAAUUCCUGGUGUAGCGGUGGAAUGCGCAGAUAUCAGGAGGAACACCGGUGGCGAAGGCGGGUCUCUGGGCAGUAACUGACGCUGAGGAGCGAAAGCGUGGGGAGCGAACCGG
This 253-nucleotide ribosomal RNA is filed under the name uncultured bacterium. Its description in RNAcentral is "partial 16S ribosomal RNA". It matches the Rfam family "Bacterial small subunit ribosomal RNA", at positions 524 to 776 of the family's 1533-position model. The record is from RNAcentral.